AAAGAUUAGCCCACUGUACCAGAACUUCUGUCACUGCCUUGUUCCUUUUAUUAACCAUCCUCCGAUCCAUAAUCGCCACCGGUUCCACAAGAAUUCGGCCCUCGUUAUUGCAAAUUGGAGGAUCAAUCAUAGCUACCACUUGAUUACCCACUUUCUUCUUCAAUUGCGACACAUGAAACACCGGGUGAAUUUUUUAUCCGGACGACAACUUCAAUUUAUGUGCUACUUGGAUAAUUUUUUCCAAGAUCUGAUAAGGCCCGUAGCACUUUGAUGCUAACUUCAGAUUCUUCCGUAUUGCUAUCGAUGCAUGUCGAUAUGGUUGCAGUUUGAGGUAUACUCAUUCUCCUUCCUCAAAAGCCCUCUCAACUUUUAGAAUCUGCAUAAAGUUUCAUUCUUUCUUGUACUUUAUUCAGAUUUUCUCGCAACAUUCGACCAAUCACUAGUCUAUCUUUUAACACUUCAUUCACUGAAUUCACCGAGACUGAGCAAUCAAUUCAAAUGUUGGCAGGGGAGGAUCGUAGCCAUAGAGUGACUUAAAAGGGGACAUUUGAAUAGCUGAGUGGUAAGUCGAGUUGUACC
RNAcentral lists this long non-coding RNA (579 nucleotides) under Nicotiana benthamiana. RNAcentral's name for it is "long non-coding RNA (NBEN_LNC028755)". The record is from RNAcentral. Lineage: Eukaryota; Viridiplantae; Streptophyta; Magnoliopsida; Solanales; Solanaceae.